Long non-coding RNA from Pygocentrus nattereri (red-bellied piranha), 367 nucleotides. RefSeq lists it as uncharacterized. The transcript has 3 exons. The record is from RefSeq and is a predicted model, not a curated record. NCBI's taxonomy places the organism in Eukaryota, Metazoa, Chordata, Actinopteri, Characiformes, Serrasalmidae.
AGGGUGCCUGCUGGAGAGGGUAGCAUGUGCCUGGAGCAUGAAGUUUAAGAGCAGCCCAACAAAAGAGAAGUGCUGAGAACAUGGUCAGCCUGGGUGAAACGUUGCUUACACUAGAGCGUGGAAUCCCUGUGGAAAUCCGGUUCCAGACCCCCUAAUGAGCAAGCCAAGGGUGACAGUGGCUGAGAGGAACCGAUAUUAUAAAGGAGAAUCUGUCCUUAGUUGGGCCACAUCAAAUAGAAUGUAGAAGGGAGCAGAGGAAAUGUUGAUAACAGUGUCUGACCGUUCUUACAGAAAAGAACAAAAUGUGGUUAAAUUAUUUAAAUAAAUAAAAUCAAGAAAAGUCACAAACUUCCUAUCUGUGUAUGGA